This 527-nucleotide ribosomal RNA is filed under the name Arthrobacter sp. s1y2. Its description in RNAcentral is "bacterial SSU rRNA". It matches the Rfam family "Bacterial small subunit ribosomal RNA", at positions 99 to 640 of the family's 1533-position model. The record is from RNAcentral. Lineage: Bacteria; Bacillati; Actinomycetota; Actinomycetes; Micrococcales; Micrococcaceae.
CGAACGGGUGAGUAACACGUGAGUAACCUGCCCUUGACUCUGGGAUAAGCCUGGGAAACUGGGUCUAAUACUGGAUACGACCUUCCAUCGCAUGGUGGUUGGUGGAAAGCUUUUGUGGUUUUGGAUGGACUCGCGGCCUAUCAGCUUGUUGGUGGGGUAAUGGCCUACCAAGGCGACGACGGGUAGCCGGCCUGAGAGGGUGGACGGCCACACUGGGACUGAGACACGGCCCAGACUCCUACGGGAGGCAGCAGUGGGGAAUAUUGCACAAUGGGCGCAAGCCUGAUGCAGCGACGCCGCGUGAGGGAUGAAGGCCUUCGGGUUGUAAACCUCUUUCAGUAGGGAAGAAGCGAAAGUGACGGUACCUGCAGAAGAAGCGCCGGCUAACUACGUGCCAGCAGCCGCGGUAAUACGUAGGGCGCAAGCGUUAUCCGGAAUUAUUGGGCGUAAAGAGCUCGUAGGCGGUUUGUCGCGUCUGCCGUGAAAGUCCGGGGCUUAACCCCGGAUCUGCGGUGGGUACGGGCAGA